RNAcentral lists this transfer RNA (70 nucleotides) under Loxodonta africana (African savanna elephant). It matches the Rfam family "tRNA". Rfam says of the family: Transfer RNA (tRNA) molecules are approximately 80 nucleotides in length. Their secondary structure includes four short double-helical elements and three loops (D, anti-codon, and T loops). Lineage: Eukaryota; Metazoa; Chordata; Mammalia; Proboscidea; Elephantidae. The record is from Rfam by way of RNAcentral.
GCAGUGGUGGUUCACGGUAGAAUUCUCUCCUUCCGUGUGGGAGGCCCAGGUUCAAUUCCUAGCCAAUGCA